RNAcentral lists this transfer RNA (67 nucleotides) under Meriones unguiculatus (Mongolian gerbil). RNAcentral describes it as "tRNA-Thr". The record is from RNAcentral. RNAcentral also lists the same sequence under 1 other name. Lineage: Eukaryota; Metazoa; Chordata; Mammalia; Rodentia; Muridae.
GUCUUGGUAGUAUAAACAUUACUUUGGUCUUGUAAACCAAAAAUGAAGAAGCUAUCUUCCCAGGACA